RNAcentral lists this ribosomal RNA (425 nucleotides) under uncultured fungus. Its description in RNAcentral is "eukaryotic LSU rRNA". It matches the Rfam family "Eukaryotic large subunit ribosomal RNA", at positions 1 to 417 of the family's 3401-position model. The record is from RNAcentral. Lineage: Eukaryota; Fungi.
UUGACCUCAAAUCAGGUAGGACUACCCGCUGAACUUAAGCAUAUCAAUAAGCGGAGGAAAAGAAACUAACAAGGAUUCCCCUAGUAACUGCGAGUGAAGCGGGAAGAGCUCAAAUUUGAAAUCUGGCGGUUCUUGACCGUCCGAGUUGUAAUCUAGAGAAGUGCUACCUGUGCUGGACCGUGUACAAGUCUCCUGGAAUGGAAGCAUCACAGAGGGUGAGAAUCCCGUCUUUGACACGGACUGCCUGCACRUUGCGGUGUGCUCUCGAAGAGUCGAGUUGUUUGGGAAUGCAGCUCAAAAUGGGUGGUAAAUGCCAUCUAAAGCUAAAUAUUGGCGAGAGACCGAUAGCGAACAAGUACCGUGAGGGAAAGAUGAAAAGAACUUUGGAAAGAGAGUUAAACAGUACGUGAAAUUGCUGAAAGGGA